GAUGCUGUUGAUGGGAAGCAAGCACGGAGGACAAAUUCCUCAAGUCCACUGGGAGAACUUUUUGACCACGGAUGCGAUGCACUUGCGUGCGCGUUUGAAACCUUAGCAUUUGGGAGCACCGCCAUGUGCGGAAGAUCUUCAUUCUGGUUCUGGGUACUUUCAGCUG
This is a non-coding RNA of Cucurbita pepo subsp. pepo (vegetable marrow), 166 nucleotides long. The record is from RefSeq and is a predicted model, not a curated record. Lineage: Eukaryota; Viridiplantae; Streptophyta; Magnoliopsida; Cucurbitales; Cucurbitaceae.